Molecule: ribosomal RNA, 822 nt
Filed under: Roussoella siamensis
Lineage: Eukaryota; Fungi; Ascomycota; Dothideomycetes; Pleosporales; Thyridariaceae
Description: SSU rRNA
Rfam family: Eukaryotic small subunit ribosomal RNA
Source: RNAcentral
CUUGCGCCGGCGACGGUUCAUUCAAAUUUCUGCCCUAUCAACUUUCGAUGGUAAGGUAUUGGCUUACCAUGGUUUCAACGGGUAACGGAUUUUUAGGGAAAGAUCCCGGAGAGGGAGCCUGAGAAACGGCUACCACAUCCAAGGAAGGCAGCAGGCGCGCAAAUUACCCAAUCCCGACACGGGGAGGUAGUGACAAUAAAUACUGAUACAGGGCUCUUUUGGGUCUUGUAAUCGGAAUGAGUACAAUUUAAAUACCUUAACGAGGAACAAUUGGAGGGCAAGUCUGGUGCCAGCAGCCGCGGUAAUUCCAGCUCCAAUAGCGUAUAUUAAAGUUGUUGCAGUUAAAAAGCUCGUAGUUGAACCUUGGGCCUGGCUGGCCGGUCCGCCUCACCGCGUGUACUGGUCCGGCCGGGCCUUUCCUUCUGGAGAACCGCAUGCCCUUCACUGGGUGUGUUGGGGAACCAGGACUUUUACUUUGAGAAAAUUAGAGUGUUCAAAGCAGGCCUUUGCUCGAAUACGUUAGCAUGGAAUAAUAGAAUAGGACGUGCGGUCCUAUUUUGUUGGUUUCUAGAACCGCCGUAAUGAUUAAUAGGGAUAGUCGGGGGCGUCAGUAUUCAAUUGUCAGAGGUGAAAUUCUUGGAUCUAUUGAAGACUAACUACUGCGAAAGCAUUCGCCAAGGAUGUUUUCAUUAAUCAGUGAACGAAAGUUAGGGGAUCGAAGACGAUCAGAUACCGUCGUAGUCUUAACCGUAAACUAUGCCGACUAGGGAUCGGGCGAUGUUUCUAUAUUGACUCGCUCGGCACCUUACGAGAAAUCAUAAG